Molecule: long non-coding RNA, 465 nt
Organism: Neodiprion fabricii
Lineage: Eukaryota; Metazoa; Arthropoda; Insecta; Hymenoptera; Diprionidae
Exons: 3
Source: RefSeq, a predicted model, not a curated record
UGUAAAGAUGGAGUCGGGUUUACGUCAUAAAUACUCUCAUUAUCACAAUUGGUUGUGAUUUCAACGACUGUGGUGAAGAAAGGCAAGCCACAAUUAAGCCUGAAACCCACGCGUUCUUUUGGUUAUUACAGACAAGCGGAAAUAAUGCGAUGGUCUACCACGUUGUGUAGUCUCGUAUCAGUCUGUGAGGGUUGCGUUGCUAAGCAACGAGUAACGCUGAUACCAACGAUUCCUAGACUUAACAAUGCGUAUCCAAAGCCUGCUGUUACAUUCCGAAUAAGAAUUCUUACAUUUUCAUCACCAGUGCAAAUGCAACCAGUGAAAAACUUACUUAGAACAGAUCCAAGUCAGCACCGGUCGGAAUGAACGAGUAAACAAAAAUGGAGUACGCAAAGACGGAAACAAGAUGGAUCAAGUUCGGAGACAUAGAGGAGCUUGUGUUGAUUGGUAAAGACGUGAUCGGUU